Molecule: long non-coding RNA, 250 nt
Organism: Falco peregrinus (peregrine falcon)
Lineage: Eukaryota; Metazoa; Chordata; Aves; Falconiformes; Falconidae
Exons: 3
Source: RefSeq, a predicted model, not a curated record
CCCCAGCUCCCGCUGCCCCUCUGGCUCCUGACCGUGACCUCGCUCGUGACCCCGGGCCAAGUAUGGACCAGUUCAACCCCGCUGGCACCCACAGCUGCCUCCAGUCCAGGGGUACAGACCGACCCCUCCCCCCACGACCCUCCCUGACCCCCAAGAGCAGUGGGACACCCCGCCCCCCCCACCCUGGUGAGUGUUGGCCCCCUCCCCCAUGUCUGGGACCCCCCCCCCAACAUCUGGGGACCCCCCCGGA